GCUAUUUUGGCAGAAAAGUGCUAUGGAAUUAGAAUCCAUUUAUGUGAUUAGAGAUCACAAAUAGUA
This 66-nucleotide transfer RNA is filed under the name Vestalis melania. Its description in RNAcentral is "tRNA-Leu". Lineage: Eukaryota; Metazoa; Arthropoda; Insecta; Odonata; Calopterygidae. The record is from RNAcentral.